GAAUACUGUAUAGCUACAAUGUAUCAACAUAUCCAACAUAACUGGAGAACGUGUUGAAUACUGUAUAGCUACAAUGUAUCAACAUAUCCAACAUAACUGGAGAACGUGUUGAACACUGUAUAGCUACAAUGUAUCAACAUAUCCAACAUAACUGGAGAACGUGUUGAAUACUGUAUAGCUACAAUGUAUCAACAUAUCCAACAUAACUGGAGAACGUGUUGAAUACUGUAUAGCUACAAUGUAUCAACAUAUCCAACAUAACUGGAGAACGUGUUGAAUACUGUAUAGCUACAAUGCAAUGAACUCACGUCAGCUAGCUAACUGUCAAAUACACGGCUAAUGUUAGCAAGCUAACCAGUUAGUUAAAUGUAUUUAACAACUUAUGACUUUUGUUCACCACUUAAUAAUUGACAACAGACCGAAAAACAGGCGAAGACAACCAGCAAGUUCAUGAUCAAGUUCAUCCAGACAAAAGUGGUCGACUUGUGUUUUGCACAAACUUACCCGAAUCUCCGGGGGUUUUCAUUUUGAGUGUUGCAAGCUAGUUAACGUUAGCUAGCGAGCUUGAUGGAUCUCAAGUCAGUAGCGUUUGUGGAAGGAAAAGUCUGAGCUCUUCCUUUGGUUCGGAUUGGAAAAACGAGGGAGGAACAAGCUAACGUUAAACUUUCCACCGUUGCUCCACUCGCGGGCCCCUUUGCUUCCACUUUCUUUCCCAAUACACCCUUCCCCAACUGUAGCGAUCGAGGUAACGUUACUUUCCCGAAUCGCAUUCAGUUGAUGUAGCUCACUGCUGUUUGUCCCACGGCAACUUGGGCUUGUCCUGUUCGAGGUGCAGCGGAACACGGUCAACCGUCCCGACAAGCACACGAACCGAAAACCCUUCUUUCCUUGUUUGCAUAUACUUUCACGAACUGUCGAGUUGUUUACUCCAUCUCAAUCGCAUCUUCCCCGUUGUUUGACAUAUCGUCGCUAAAAUAACCGUUCUGUAGAAUAGCAGUCGGCCUCUCUUUAGACUUUCUUUCUUCCUCCACUCACUAACAUUCUGUACUCUGUGGCUACUCUUUCUCCUCCCCCCGGUUCCUCUCUCUCGGGUGUCGUGUUUCGCUCUCUCCUCACCGGGCCGCCCACACGGAGAGGGAGAGGGGGGCUCUAAGGGGCGGGUCACACCCACUCACCACGAGCCAGGGUGGCGUCACUGCUGCGGCGUCGCCAUAGAGACCGCCACAGCGACACUGCCGUGGUGACAUCAUAUCCGCGUCCUACGAUUCUAGGCCGUCAUCACGUCCUUUUACGUCAAUCGCAGCUAUUCUUCAGGAGGGCAGGAACUCACUCUGUUUUCCCAGAUAAGCAUCAGAGAGCUGGGAGAGAGGUUCUAUCUGGGACGCAGCAUUCCCAAAUCCAGGAAACAGCGAGCACCAUCCCGUCCUGUCUCUUCCUGAGCAGAAGGGCCAGCCUUGUGUUUUCCCACGCCAGUAGUCCCUGUCAACCACAUUUAGUGGAACAUUAGCCACAGCAUUGUUUUCUUGCCCCCCUCUUUCUCUUUCUGUCUCUCUCUCACUCUUCAUCUCUGUCCUCACUCACUUUCUCUGCCUAUGUCUCUCUAGUCUUAUCUCUUUCAUUCUGUUGUCCUCUCUUUGUCCAUCCACCUCUCCUCCUAUCUCCAUAUCGCUCUUUCAUUUGAAGAGCACUUCAGCAUCCCCCAAGCUCUUCACAGAGGAAGUAUGGUUGGAGAGAGAAGCGAGAGAUGAAGAAUAAAGAAAAAGAAGUCUCUCCGUUCCUAAUGGGAAUGACAGACAGACGCUGUGGAGAGAAAGACAGAAAGAACCGGGACACUGGAGCACCCCACAAACAUCACCCCCUGACCCCCU
Molecule: long non-coding RNA, 1868 nt
Filed under: Salmo salar (Atlantic salmon)
Lineage: Eukaryota; Metazoa; Chordata; Actinopteri; Salmoniformes; Salmonidae
Description: lncRNA (ENSSSAG00000106142.1)
Source: RNAcentral